This 210-nucleotide ribosomal RNA is filed under the name uncultured Lactobacillus sp. Its description in RNAcentral is "partial 16S rRNA". It matches the Rfam family "Bacterial small subunit ribosomal RNA", at positions 439 to 647 of the family's 1533-position model. The record is from RNAcentral. Lineage: Bacteria; Bacillati; Bacillota; Bacilli; Lactobacillales; Lactobacillaceae.
AGGAUAGAGGCAGGUAACUGGUCUUUAUUUGACGGUAAUCAACCAGAAAGUCACGGCUAACUACGUGCCAGCAGCCGCGGUAAUACGUAGGUGGCAAGCGUUGUCCGGAUUUAUUGGGCGUAAAGCGAGCGCAGGCGGAAUGAUAAGUUCUGAUGUGAAAGCCCACGGCUCAACCCGUGGAACNGCAUCGGAAACCUGUCAUUCUGAGGC